GUAAAAGCCAUAGACUUGCAGGCGGCCAUUUUGGGUUAGCAGUGAGGCGAGUGGAGGAGAGAGCAGUUGGUGGCAGUUGACGGAGGACAAGGUGAGGCAAUCAGUGGAUUCUUAUUUUCUCAGUUUCUUAUUUCAUUUAUUACUUGUUUUUAUCUUCCUGAAGAUGUGCCAGAGGCUUUCUUCAUCCAGCAAUGGUGAGUAUUGGAGGAAACAAGAGUAGGGAGAGCAUAGCUGUCAACGUUUCCCUUUUUGAAGGGAAAUUCCCUUAUUCCAAAUAGGAUUCUCGCAAGGAAAGGGAAAAGUUGACAGCUAUGAGGGAGAUGAUCCCAAAGACCUGCACCCCGCUGCCAGGACUCUCAGUUGUGAGGAACGUGACAGCCUGACCUUUGCUGGAGCCAGAGCAAGAUCUCUUGCUCCAGGUGAUGCAGAGCUGCCAGGAAGCUGCCCUGAGAGGCCUCCAUGCCCUUCAGGUGUCCAAGCACCGGACAGCGGAGGCCAUUCUGGGGCUGCCGGAGAGGAGGACCCUGCUGGCUUACGUUCAGGUAUGCUGUCUGAAAGGGGAAUCAUCUUAGGGCCUUCCUGUGAAAUUCUGCGUCAGCGAUGCUGUUCCUAGAAUGGAGGCAUGUGCAACAGGUCAAUCGCGAUCUACUGGUCGAUCCACGACUCUGGUCACUGCUCCCUGAGAAAAGCUCCACAACUCUGGGCAAAGACAAUGGGUAGAUCACUGGCAGGUUUUUUAUUACUGGGAGUAGAUCUCAGCAUCUUGGAAGUUGGACGUCCCUGCUAUAGUGCAUAGGUAUAUACACACAAAACCAAACCUGAUAAAAUCGAUAAAAAUCCAUUAAAAAAAAAAACUACUCAGAGACAAUUCAGAGUGGGAGAACUCUGAAAUUUACCUGUGGAAAGAAUCUUGCAUGUUAUCUUUGGACCUUGGCAACCUUUCUUCCAUAGUUGAUGGUUCAGUACUUCACCAUUAUUUCCCCUUUGGGACCCCCUGGGGCAAAGCUUUGGGGCAACCAACCAUUUUACACAAACACACAAAAGGGGUACUUCUUACUGCAGUUCCCUUAAUGGCUCCCAAUUUUACAAAAAGAAAUUUGAAUCAAGUUUCAUGUGCAGAGCAUAGCUUUGUCACCUCUUGGUUUAAACCUACUUUUUCUUUUCUUUUCAUCUUUUUUUAAACUAACGUAGCCACUGUACAUGUACAGGGUACAUGAUUCAGCAAUCUAUUAUACCAUUUGAAGUGUUGCAUCACCUGACUAAAUUACCAUUUGAAUAAAGCCAUGAUUGGCUUUUCUUACCAGGGACUCAAGGAAGGCGAAGGGGUAGAUUUAAGAUUUAAGAGACCAAAUUCCCAAGGGCAUAAAACCUUUUCAGUUAGUUUAAAAUCCCUUUCCCAGUUUGAUGUCCUAAGACAUUUCUGAUAUGUAUGCUUUCCUGUUUCUUUUUGCUUAGGAAGCAGACUUAUAGAUCUGAAACUUUAAAUAGAUCAGAACUUCAACAUUCAGACAACCCAACAACUCAACUUUCCCACCAAAAGCCAGUAAUAAAAGUUUGGUCAAGGCACAUUCCACCUAAUUAUGAAUUUGUAUGUGCUUUAAACUUUGGCUGGACUUUAGCCUAUUUGAAGUCUGAUUUGAAUAACAGACAAAGUGAUGAAAAUCCCCAGAUAAUCACUCAAAUGCUUGAUAUCGCCAGCUCUGCUCCAAAACAUCGCCGCUUUCACCUCCCACUUCUUAACACUCUAUUCCAAACUCUGAAAACCAAUCCUUCCAUCUUUUUCUACCAAAGAGCAAAGCUUGGCUAAAUUUCAGCCCAUCACCCCACCCCACCCCACCCCACCAUAACUUAAAAUUCACUCUCCAAUGCUUGCAGACACAUCCCUUCUCCUUCGGUGAUGCCCAGAAUUGAACACAUUGUGACGACUUUAAAGAUUUGCCACCCCAUGUCAUUUCUGUAACACCUGCAAUCAUGUGUGUUGUGUUAGCAAUUCACUCCUCCCGUUGCUGGAUAUGUGGCUAGUAUGUCACAUGUCUCUGUUUACUUUCUUUUUUAAAAUAAAAUGAAUAUUUAUUGAAUUUUAUAACAAAAAAAAAUACAGAUCUCAAUCAUCAUGUUAUUUACCAUUGUUUUCCCUCCCCUCCUCUGGACUUCCCUCAACUUCCCCUCUGCUGAGUUAUUUAGCUUUAUUUGUUGUAUCCUGCUUUUCUUAUAUAAAAGCAAUUUCCCAAAUCAUUUCUCUAAAGUAUCUGUUACUGAAAUAAAGUUGUGAAAGUUUAUUCAAACCCUGCCAGUGAAUCCAGUCCAUUUUGUUGUUUCUGCAAAUAGACUGUAAAUGGUUCCCAGACUCUUUUGAAGUCCUUUUUGUCCUUCUCUCAUAGUUUAUCUGUUAGCUUAGCCAACUCUGCAGAGUUCAUCAGUUUUUCUGGCCAUUGUUCCUUUGAUGGUAUGUCUUCUGUCUUCCAAUAUUGUGCAAUCAAGAUUCUGGCCGCUGUUAUAGCAUACAUAAAUAAUAUCCAUUUUUCUUUUGGCAGCACUUGCUUUGGGAUACCUAAUAAAAAGGGUGUUUAAGAAAGUUCAUUUUCAACAUGAACCUGUUUAGUUUCCUAGGCUUGGAAAGUGUAAGAACGGAAGUCAGUCUUAUCUCUUCUGCUCUGCUGUGCUUUUGCACUGUUCUUUGUCUCCCUGUCUGUUGCUGAAGAAGAGAGAGGAUGCCAUUAUGAUCCGUUUGGUGUCUUCUGCAAAUGUGAAGAGCAUCCCCUCAGUUCCUUCAUCCAUGUCAUUUAUCAAGACGUUGAACAACAACGGACCCAGGACAGAACCCUGCAGUACCCCUCUUGUCACUUUUCCCCAGGAUGAGGAGGAACCAUGAAGGAGUCCUCUUUGGGUUCGGUCAGUCAAAUCCACCUAACAGUUACCUCAUUCAGCCCACAUUUUACCACCUUCCUCAAAUAAACAUCAGAGGACUUUGUCAAAAGCCUUACUGAAAUCGAGAUGCACUAUUUCAACAGCAGUUCCCUGAUCAACAAAGUUUGUAACUCC
This 3042-nucleotide long non-coding RNA is filed under the name Podarcis lilfordi (Lilford's wall lizard). The record is from RNAcentral. Lineage: Eukaryota; Metazoa; Chordata; Lepidosauria; Squamata; Lacertidae.